UACAGAGGGUGCGAGCGUUAAUCGGAAUUACUGGGCGUAAAGGGCGCGUAGGCGGUUAUAUAAGUUGGAUGUGAAAUCCCUGGGCUUAACCUAGGAACUGCAUCCAAGACUGUGUGACUAGAGUGCAGUAGAGGAUAGUGGAAUUUCCGGUGUAGCGGUGAAAUGCGUAGAUAUCGGAAGGAACACCAGUGGCGAAGGCGGCUAUCUGGACUGACACUGACGCUGAGGCGCGAAAGCGUGGGUAGCAAAC
This 250-nucleotide ribosomal RNA is filed under the name uncultured bacterium. Its description in RNAcentral is "partial 16S ribosomal RNA". It matches the Rfam family "Bacterial small subunit ribosomal RNA", at positions 524 to 773 of the family's 1533-position model. The record is from RNAcentral.